GAUGAAGAACGUAGUGAAAUGCGAUAAGUAAUGCGAAUUGCAGAAUUCCAGUGAGUCAUCGAAUCUUUGAACGCACAUUGCGCCCGCCAGUAUUCUGGCGGGCAUGCCUGUUCGAGCGUCAUUUCAACCCUCAAGCCCCCGGGUUUGGUGUUGGGGAUCGGGCUGUACUCCAGCCCGGCCCCGAAAUCUAGUGGCGGUCUCGCUGCAGCCUCCAUUGCGUAGUAGCUAACACCUCGCAACUGGAACGCGGCGCGGCCAAGCCGUUAAACCCCCAACUUCUGAAUGUUGACCUCGGAUCAGGUAGGAAUACCCGCUGAACUUAAGCAUAUCAAUAAGCGGAGGA
Molecule: unclassified non-coding RNA, 343 nt
Filed under: soil metagenome
Description: partial contains 5.8S ribosomal RNA, internal transcribed spacer 2, and large subunit ribosomal RNA
Rfam family: 5.8S ribosomal RNA (bases 1-121)
Source: RNAcentral